AUGGGAGAGGCGCCCCGGCGCCAUCUUGGUGGCGAUUUUUGCUGCUUGAGGUUCUGCUGAAGCGGCGGCGAACGCGCGGAGGGUGAGGCGGGUCAGGAAAUUCUCGGCUUUUAGCUGCCAGCUGUCGCGCUGUCCGUCGUUUUAUCAUCCAGGACGCACGGAUACCGUCUGAUCUUUUUCUCAAUUGCAAGAGUCAAGCUUGAGUCACGUAUCUAUUGUGGACCCCAAUGUCAAAAGGAAGACAACAUCUUCAAAAGUAAUAUUGCCUUAUGUACAAAAAUAAAUUAUAUUUUAAUCCUGAA
This is a long non-coding RNA of Pristis pectinata (smalltooth sawfish), 302 nucleotides long. RefSeq lists it as uncharacterized. NCBI's taxonomy places the organism in Eukaryota, Metazoa, Chordata, Chondrichthyes, Rhinopristiformes, Pristidae. The transcript has 2 exons. The record is from RefSeq and is a predicted model, not a curated record.